UAAAGGCCCGUCAAAGGACCCUAAACUCUAUUUUGACUUGGUAUCUCUGAGUAAAUCAACUUAAUAAGUUAAAACUUUCAACAACGGAUCUCUUGGUUCUGGCAUCGAUGAAGAACGCAGCGAAAUGCGAUAAGUAAUGUGAAUUGCAGAAUUCAGUGAAUCAUCGAAUCUUUGAACGCACAUUGCGCCCAUUAGUAUUCUAGUGGGCAUGCCUAUUCGAGCGUCAUUUCAACCCCUUAAGCCCUGUUGCUUAGCGUUGGGGGCCUGCGCCUGGCGGCGUAGCCCCUGAAAGAUAGUGGCGGAGUCAGUGAGCACUCUGAGCGUAGUAACUUUUCUCGCUCUGGUAGCUUGCCCCUGGCUGCUGGCCGUUAAACCCCCCCAUAUCUUCUAGCGGUUGACCUCGGAUUAGGUAGGAAUACCCGCUGAACUUAAGCAUAUCAAUAAGGG
RNAcentral lists this ribosomal RNA (447 nucleotides) under uncultured Hypoxylon. Its description in RNAcentral is "eukaryotic LSU rRNA". The stretch from base 73 to 226 matches the Rfam family "5.8S ribosomal RNA". The record is from RNAcentral. Lineage: Eukaryota; Fungi; Ascomycota; Sordariomycetes; Xylariales; Xylariaceae.